GAAUGAAGCAAGCAUGGUAAUGUGCACAUAAAUUGAAUUGGAUUUUUAGGCAUGCCCCCUCUGAUAUCAUAUGGCUUUGAUUUGGGGGCAUGAAUCCGCAGCAAAACA
Small nucleolar RNA from Rhododendron vialii, 108 nucleotides. RefSeq annotates it as small nucleolar RNA snoR100. The record is from RefSeq and is a predicted model, not a curated record. The transcript has a single exon. NCBI's taxonomy places the organism in Eukaryota, Viridiplantae, Streptophyta, Magnoliopsida, Ericales, Ericaceae.